This 320-nucleotide ribosomal RNA is filed under the name uncultured eukaryote. RNAcentral's name for it is "partial 18S ribosomal RNA". It matches the Rfam family "Eukaryotic small subunit ribosomal RNA", at positions 1470 to 1796 of the family's 1831-position model. The record is from RNAcentral.
CCCUUAGAUGUUCUGGGCUGCACGCGUGUUACAAUCGGGAGUACAACAAGAUUGCAAAUCCUAGUGGAUGAGUGGUUCUUCGAAAUUUUCUGAAGACUGGGAUCGUUGAUUGAAAUUAUUCAACUCAAACGAGGAAUUCCUUGUAAUUGUAAUUCAUUAUAUUGUAAUGAAUACGUCCCUGCCCUUUGUACACACCGCCCGUCGCUCCUACCGAUUGAACGAUCCGGUGAAUUAUUUGGAGUAGCUCUGGAAGUUGCAGAACUUCCUAUGUCACGAAAUUUUGUAAACCUUAUCGUUUAGAGGAAGGAAAAGUCGUAACA